GCAGGGGUUCCAGAGCUUGGUCAAAUGGGCAGGGCUUAGAACCCUGUGGCUUAGGCCUCCGCAGGUUCAAAUCCUGCCCCCUGCA
RNAcentral lists this transfer RNA (85 nucleotides) under Candidatus Gugararchaeum adminiculabundum. RNAcentral's name for it is "tRNA-Leu(tag)". It matches the Rfam family "tRNA". Rfam says of the family: Transfer RNA (tRNA) molecules are approximately 80 nucleotides in length. Their secondary structure includes four short double-helical elements and three loops (D, anti-codon, and T loops). Lineage: Archaea; Nanobdellati; Microcaldota; Candidatus Micrarchaeia; Candidatus Gugararchaeales; Candidatus Gugararchaeaceae. The record is from RNAcentral.